Molecule: long non-coding RNA, 3066 nt
Filed under: Sus scrofa (pig)
Lineage: Eukaryota; Metazoa; Chordata; Mammalia; Artiodactyla; Suidae
Description: lncRNA (ENSSSCG00035058950.1)
Source: RNAcentral
UGCCCCUCCACUUCUCCAGCCUUCACCCAUGUCUCCUGUCUCCUUCAGUGACUCUGCACAGCUCUCUCCUCCCAGAAUUUCUCCUCCUUUGUCAGUCUCCUUUGCAAGUUCUGGGUAGCUUUUCUUCCUUAGAUUGUUAAACAUUAAUUAUGUUCCACAGGGUUGCUCCCUGACCCUCUCCUUUUCUUUCCUGACACCGCAUCCAAGGAAUUCUUGUCCUUUCCCCUGGCUUUAACUUCUACCCAUUUGCCAGUCAUGCCCAAAGUUAUUUCCUACCAUACCUCCUCCUGAGAGAGUGCAACACCCACCAGUAACGUGCAGUAUUUGCCCCCGUGGCCACUCCUCAGACCUAACAUCCACACAGAAGAACUAAUUUUCCACUAAACCUAAUACCAGAAAAGCUUUAUUAAAAGUCCAGGCCCUUGUUCAACUCAUUCAAAAGAAUUUAAGCAUGGAACCACAAACACAAGGGGGAAAAAGUCUAUAUUGAGGCUGAGGAGCAAAGAGAACAAAUAAGCAACUUAUCUGGGGCAGAAGCAAAACUUAGGUGCUCAGAGAAGAUUGGGGCUGUCCUUAGGACUGAGGGGGUACACCACAGGAUUGUUGAUCCCCCUUUUAUUUAUAGCCCUUUGAAUGGGUGGGGGCCUUUUGUGGAGGGGUGGAAUAUCUGUUCUGGGGAGGGUUGAGCUGUGGCCUGAAUCGCAUCAAGUUGCAUCAGCUUUCAGGCCUGAGCCUUUGUCUCCUGAAGCCACUGUGCAUGCUCUCCAAGAUUGCCCUGGAAUUUUCCCUAAGCAAGUGCCACAUGUGGAAGGUCAUCCAGGGUCAUCACAAGCUGUACAUUUUUAUUGUGCCUGCACCAGGAUUUUGCUGGUCAGAGUUUCUUACUCAGGUGCUACAAAGUAUUUGUUUUUGAUGCCAUUGCUCCAUGGGUCAUGGCAUCCUUAGCUGCAAAACAAGGAGGUGGCUUUGCCUUCUGCCUAAUGCCUGUACAGGAGGAGGUUGGCCUUGUGCCCCACCCUGUCUUUCCUGCCUCACACCUACAUGUUUGUAUAUAGCUCUUCUUCUGGUUAAAAGCAGUACCACAUACCACCAGAGGCUGGACCCUCAAAGCCAUCUGUGAGUUGCUGCCAUUUCCCCCUCUUGAGAUUGAGAGUUAACUUAGUUUAACUUAGUUUAACUCUCAAUCUCAGGUGUUUUCCUCUUCCUCUCCCUCCUCGCUGCCCCUCCCUUUCAGGCCCACAUCAUCUCCACAGUGAUCAUGUCCAUAGGCAUCUUGACGGUUGGUCUCCCUGGGCCACCCCCAUCCCAGGACCGUCUCUGUCCUUCCUUCUAGAUUGAGCCCUGGAAGACAGACUUCCAUGUGGGCUCUUCUUCUUGAGCCAGAUCCAGGGAGGCAUGGGAGGAUGAGAGAGCGUGAGGAGAGAGGUCGGUCCCUGUAGUUCUGAUUUGGUUGCCUUUCUCCAGGGACACAGCUCUUCUAGGGAGGCCCUCCUUCCAUCCCUUUCCCUCCAGGUUCAGUCAUGGCUCCAUCCUGCCCCUUUCUGUUUUAGGCCAGUGACCACUUUUCCUUGUUGCUGAUCUCUGGGUGCUUCACCUUUAUAUUGUGGUUCUUUAUCUCUGCACACACCUCUGUAAAUAGUCCCGCAGGUAAAGCAUCUUCUGUUAAACCCUUGGAGUGUGCCAGUCAGUUUCCUGCUACGGCUCAGACAGAUGCACCUUUAGCUCAUCUCUGUCUUUAGCUUUGCAUUGCUUCAAUCCCUCCUCCGUCCUCUUACUGCAGAGUGAACUUUUAAAUGUAAAUCUGAUACCACCUACCUGCUUAAAACCUGCAAUGACUUCCUUCCUGCAAGAAUGAGAAUGAAGGCUUCUAUGGCAAGCAGUGUGCUCCAUGAUUUGCAGCCUCUCCAGACAUUUCCCACAGCACCUGCCCCUUCUCAGGGUGAAGCUAGUUAAAGCGAAUAGCUUACAGCCCAAAUCAGUAGGGAAAGCCCUGUGCUCUAGCUCUGGAGAGACUAAGGCUCUGGCCAUGCUCUGUCUGACCUGCUGGCCUUCCUCUCCCAGUGCUGUCACCAUGUGAAUCAUUAGGUAUUUUUUCAGGUUAUGUCACUUAGGAAAGGAAUGGAAAUGGGAAUGAUUGGUUUUUUUCUUCCCAGUGGAUGGCUUUUUUCCUCAGAAGGUGUUAAAUUGAAAAUAAGGCAUGUUUUAUUUUUCACAAAGACAAGAAGGAUAAAAUGGGGGUUACACAUGGAAGCCCAAGAAAGAGGUAUUUUCUCCUGUAUGCAACAACCUACAGAUAGAUCAAAGAAACAUUUCUCCUCUUUUCCUCCCUUCUUUCUUUCAUUCCUUCCAUCUUUCUCUCUUUCUGUUCUCCAUGUUUGGUUUAUCAUUUUAAAGCCCAGUGAGGAGUUCUCUGGUGGCUCAGUGGGUUAAGGAUCUCUUGUUGUCACUACUGUGGCACAGAUUCGACCCCUGGAACAGGAACUUUCCUGUGCCUCAGGCACCACCAAAUAAAUAAAUAAAGCCCAAUGACAGGAGGUUGGAGUCAUUAUCUCAUUUGAAAUAUUACCUUUAAGUAUCAAAUGGAAAGGAUUAUGUAAUUUCCUAAAUGGAUCUUCACAUUUCAAGAAAGGUAUUAAUUUUCCUAAGGGAGUGAAUCCCAUGCUGGAUCAAUCCUCUCAGCAAGCCCGCACCCCUAAUCUCCACUCUCGAGUCUUGUGUUUUCCCCAGUUAAUUUGCUGAGGUUGGGGCUGUUGGGUGAUUAAUGCGAGAUUUUAGAGGAGGGACUCAGAGUGGUGGUGGUAUAAGUAAGGAUGAUUAUGUGGCAUUGUUUCCUGAUCCAUAAAACAAGCAAAUAAUGUUUGUGACCUGAUUGAUCCCCUGUGACAGAAGUGGUUUUUAAACUGUAUUUUCUUAAAGGAAAUGUCAAUAUGCAUAAAAAAUCUGGCAGAGAGUAUUGAAUAAUAAAGUGGAAAGGAAUGGAAAUUAUUUUAGAGCCAGAUAAAGGGCAUGUGUUUUAGAGAAACUUAUGGGCUUAAUAUAGUUUUGUGGUCCUGUGACCACAUAGAG